Molecule: unclassified non-coding RNA, 256 nt
Filed under: Hevea brasiliensis (rubber tree)
Lineage: Eukaryota; Viridiplantae; Streptophyta; Magnoliopsida; Malpighiales; Euphorbiaceae
Source: RNAcentral
GACCUUUCGUGAGCAAGGGAAAUAAAAGAGGUCUGCAGACUGCAUCUCAAAUUAGUCAUAGGCCACUUGCACCUGCUAUUACACGGGACCAAAGAGCUACAGAUGAACCACUUCCGUAUGGUGAUACUUCACGGCAUCUCGGGUCAGCUGUAAAGCAGUUAGCUCCACCUAAUUUACAAGCUCAAUUGACCGUGGAUAAGGUCAAUGUGGGCAAUGCUUCUGGGAUGCCAUCUGUUCAGUUGAAAAGAAAUUUGGG